AGAGUUUGAUCAUGGCUCAGAAUCAACGCUGGCGGCGCGCCUAACACACGCAAGUCGAACGAGAAAGUGGAGCAAUCCAUGAGUACAGUGGCGUACGGGUGAGUAACACGUGGGUGAUCUACCUCUUAGUGAGGAAUAACCCUGGGAAACCGGGGCUAAUACCGCAUAAGCCUGAGAAGGGAAAGCAGCAAUGCCUGAGAGAGGAGCCCGCGGCGAUUAGCUAGGGAGGAAGAGCCCACCAAGGCAGAGAUCGGUAGCCGGCCUGAGAGGGCACACGGCCACACUGGCACUGAAACACGGGCCAGACUCCUACGGGAGGCAGCAGUGGGGAAUCUUGCACAAUGGGGGAAACCCUGAUGCAGCGACGCCGCGUGAGCGAUGAACCCUUCGGGUGUAAAGCUCUUUCGUCAGGGAAGAUUAUGACGGUACCUGGAGAAGCAGCUGCGGCUAACUACGUGCCAGCAGCCGCGGUAAUACGUAGGCAGCAAGCGUUGUUCGGAGUUACUGGGCGUAAAGGGUGUGUAGGCGGUUCUUUAAGUUUGGUGUGAAAUCUCCCGGCUCAACCGGGAGGGUGCGCCGAAUACUGAGGGACUAGAGUGUGGGAGAGGAAAGUGGAAUUCCUGGUGUAGCGGUGAAAUGCGUAGAUAUCAGGAGGAACACCGGUGGUGUAGACGGCUUUCUGGACCAUAACUGACGCUGAGACACGAAAGCGGGGUAGCAAACAGGAUUAGAUACCCUAGUAGUCC
Molecule: ribosomal RNA, 746 nt
Filed under: uncultured bacterium
Lineage: Bacteria
Description: bacterial SSU rRNA
Rfam family: Bacterial small subunit ribosomal RNA
Source: RNAcentral